UGCCCAUUGGCCCAGUGGUUAAGGCGUCUGACUGUUAGCAAACAGAAAAUCAGAAGAUCCCUGGUUCGACCCCAGGAUGGGCAG
This 84-nucleotide transfer RNA is filed under the name Hypoxylon sp. FL1150. RNAcentral's name for it is "tRNA-Asn". It matches the Rfam family "tRNA". Rfam says of the family: Transfer RNA (tRNA) molecules are approximately 80 nucleotides in length. Lineage: Eukaryota; Fungi; Ascomycota; Sordariomycetes; Xylariales; Hypoxylaceae. The record is from RNAcentral.